GACGAACGCUGGCGGCGUGCUUAACACAUGCAAGUCGAACGGAAAGGCCCUGCUUUUGUGGGGUGCUCGAGUGGCGAACGGGUGAGUAACACGUGAGUAACCUGCUCUUGACUUUGGGAUAACUUCAGGAAACUGGGGCUAAUACCGGAUAGGAGCUCCUGCCGCAUGGUGGGGGUUGGAAAGUUUCGGCGGUUGGGGAUGGACUCGCGGCUUAUCAGCUUGUUGGUGGGGUAGUGGCUUACCAAGGCUUUGACGGGUAGCCGGCCUGAGAGGGUGACCGACCACAUUGGGACUGAGAUACGGCCCAGACUCCUACGGGAGGCAGCGGUGGGGAAUAUUGCACAAUGGGCGGAAGCCUGAUGCAGCAACGCCGCGUGCGGGAUGACGGCCUUCGGGUUGUAAACCGCUUUCGCCUGUGACGAAGCGUGAGUGACGGUAAUGGGUAAAGAAGCACCGGCUAACUACGUG
RNAcentral lists this ribosomal RNA (468 nucleotides) under uncultured bacterium. RNAcentral describes it as "partial 16S ribosomal RNA". It matches the Rfam family "Bacterial small subunit ribosomal RNA", at positions 28 to 507 of the family's 1533-position model. The record is from RNAcentral.